CACCCCAUCUGGAUUGUUUUCUGUUACCACCUGGAAAAGAAAGUGUAAAAGAUGAGGAGAAGAAGGUGGAAGGAUGCUAGACAGAGAAGGGACUUCUGCUUUUCUAAUCUGUUACCUUCUACAGAGGACACAGGAACCUCACCAGGGCACAGCCCACUGCACGCAGCAGCAGGAGGGGGAGGAGAUUCUGAGCGGACUCCUUGCCAGGGCAUUUGCUCCUCAAGGGUUAAAGGAUGCCGGAAUAGGCUGGCGGAUCUAUUGUGGCCCCUGAGGAGCGUGAUAGCCCGUCAUCGCACAAGCUUCAACCACACUAAAUUGAUUCUGUGUUGCUUUUCCCACCGCUGGGCCAAUCUCAGCUAUGAUUCGUGGACCUGUUCUUUUGCAGCUCAAAGACAUGACCCCUUGGGCUUCCUGGCAGAAGGUGGACUCAUUUCCCACCUGCCCACUGUUCCCUGACCCCUCCCCAAGCUGGGCUUUUCCCCAUCGUUUCCUUUGGAACAAAAUCUUCUCUUCAUAUAAGA
RNAcentral lists this non-coding RNA (521 nucleotides) under Pongo abelii (Sumatran orangutan). The record is from RNAcentral. Lineage: Eukaryota; Metazoa; Chordata; Mammalia; Primates; Hominidae.